UGGGGAAUUUUGGACAAUGGGCGAAAGCCUGAUCCAGCAAUGCCGCGUGUGUGAAGAAGGCCUUCGGGUUGUAAAGCACUUUUGUCCGGAAAGAAAUCCUUGGCUCUAAUACAGUCGGGGGAUGACGGUACCGGAAGAAUAAGCACCGGCUAACUACGUGCCAGCAGCCGCGGUAAUACGUAGGGUGCAAGCGUUAAUCGGAAUUACUGGGCGUAAAGCGUGCGCAGGCGGUUUGCUAAGACCGAUGUGAAAUCCCCGGGCUCAACCUGGGAACUGCAUUGGUGACUGGCAGGCUAGAGUAUGGCAGAGGGGGGUAGAAUUCCACGUGUAGCAGUGAAAUGCGUAGAGAUGUGGAGGAAUACCGAUGGCGAAGGCAGCCCCCUGGGCCAAUACUGACGCUCAUGCACGAAAGCGUGGGGGAGCAAACAGGAUUAGAUACCCUGGUAGUCCACGCCCUAAACGAUGUCAACUAGUUGUUGGGGAUUCAUUUCCUUAGUAACGUAGCUAACGCGUGAAGUUGACCGCCUGGGGGAGUACGGUCGCAAGAUUAAAACUUAAAGGAAUUGACGGGGUCAUAGCUGUUUCCU
This 587-nucleotide ribosomal RNA is filed under the name uncultured bacterium. RNAcentral describes it as "partial 16S ribosomal RNA". It matches the Rfam family "Bacterial small subunit ribosomal RNA", at positions 355 to 1375 of the family's 1533-position model. The record is from RNAcentral.